Molecule: ribosomal RNA, 774 nt
Filed under: uncultured Neocallimastigales
Lineage: Eukaryota; Fungi; Neocallimastigomycota; Neocallimastigomycetes; Neocallimastigales
Description: partial large subunit ribosomal RNA
Rfam family: Eukaryotic large subunit ribosomal RNA
Source: RNAcentral
GUACACGCUGUGACUAGCAUAUCAAUAAGCGGAGGAAAAGAAACUAACAAGGAUUCCCCUAGUAACGGCGAGUGAAGCGGGAAGAGCUCAAAUUUGAAAUCUUAAAGGGUUUCCCUUUACGAAUUGUAGUUUAAAGAAGUGUUUUCUGUUGAGGUUUUGGUAAAAGUUCUUUGGAAUAGGACAUCAUAGAGGGUGAGAAUCCCGUAUUUGACCUUUACUUUCAACUUUGUGAUACACUUUCAAAGAGUCGGAUUGUUUGGGAAUGCAGUCCAAAAUGGGUGGUAAAUUUCAUCUAAAGCUAAAUAUUGACGAGAGACCGAUAGCGAACAAGUACCGUGAGGGAAAGAUGAAAAGAACUUUGAAAAGAGAGUUAAACAGUACGUGAAAUUGUCAAAAGGGAAGCGUUUGACACCAGUGUUGUUUUUCUGAAAAUCAAUUAAAGAACUGUUUAUGCUAAGCUGUUUAGACUUUAUCAGCUAUCUGUUUAGUUUUGAGCUUUUCUUUAAUGCACUUUUCAGUUAACAAGUCAACAUCAAUUUCUUUUGCUGUAAAAAAGCUUGAGGAAGGUGGCUUGAGAUUCGUCUUAAGUGUUUAUAGCCUCUUGCCUAUGCAGUCGGAGAGAUUGAGGUCUGCAGCGUAGAUCCUUCGGGGCUAAAUGCAUUUGUGCUAAGUUAUAGCAUUUUAUAGACAACUUGUUGACUAUGAUUUGUCUUGUAGCUUACUCGCUUAUGUUAUUUUACCUACGCUUAGGAUGUUGAUAUGCAUGACUGAUAU